GUGAGGCGGAGCUAAUCCCUUAAAGCCAUUCUCAGUUCGGAUUGUAGGCUGAAACUCGCCUACAUGAAGCUGGAGUUACUAGUAAUCGCAGAUCAGAAUGCUGCGGUGAAUGCGUUCCCGGGUCUUGUACACACCGCCCGUCACACCACGGAAGUUGGGGGCGCCCGAAGCCACUUAGCUAACCCUUUUGGGAAGCGAGUGUCGAAGGUGAAAUCAAUAACUGGGGUGAAGUCGUAACAAGGUAAC
Molecule: ribosomal RNA, 246 nt
Filed under: uncultured bacterium
Lineage: Bacteria
Description: partial 16S ribosomal RNA
Rfam family: Bacterial small subunit ribosomal RNA
Source: RNAcentral